CUAGCUACAGGCUUAACACAUGCAAGUCGAGGGGCAGCAUUUUAGUUUGCUUGCAAACUGAAGAUGGCGACCGGCGCACGGGUGAGUAACACGUAUCCAACCUGCCGAUAACUCCGGAAUAGCCUUUCGAAAGAAAGAUUAAUACCGGAUAGCAUACGAAUAUCGCAUGAUAUUUUUAUUAAAGAAUUUCGGUUAUCGAUGGGGAUGCGUUCCAUUAGUUUGUUGGCGGGGUAACGGCCCACCAAGACUACGAUGGAUAGGGGUUCUGAGAGGAAGGUCCCCCACAUUGGAACUGAGACACGGUCCAAACUCCUACGGGAGGCAGCAGUGAGGAAUAUUGGUCAAUGGGCGAGAGCCUGAACCAGCCAAGUAGCGUGAAGGAUGAAGGCUCUAUGGGUCGUAAACUUCUUUUAUAUGGGAAUAAAGUUUUCCACGUGUGGAAUUUUGUAUGUACCAUAUGAAUAAGGAUCGGCUAACUCCGUGCCAGCAGCCGCAGUAAUACGGAGGAUCCGAGCGUUAUCCGGAUUUAUUGGGUUUAAAGGGAGCGUAGGUGGAUUGUUAAGUCAGUUGUGAAAGUUUGCGGCUCAACCGUAAAAUUGCAGUUGAAACUGGCAGUCUUGAGUACAGUAGAGGUGGGCGGAAUUCGUGGUGUAGCGGUGAAAUGCUUAGAUAUCACGAAGAACUCCGAUUGCGAAGGCAGCUCACUAGACUAUUACUGACACUGAUGCUCGAAAGUGUGGGUAUCAAACAGGAUUAGAUACCCUGGUAGUCCACACAGUAAACGAUGAAUACUCGCUGUUUGCGAUAUACAGUAAGCGGCCAAGCGAAAGCAUUAAGUAUUCCACCUGGGGAGUACGCCGGCAACGGUGAAACUCAAAGGAAUUGACGGGGGCCCGCACAAGCGGAGGAACAUGUGGUUUAAUUCGAUGAUACGCGAGGAACCUUACCCGGGCUUAAAUUGCAACAGAAUAUAUUGGAAACAGUAUAGCCGUAAGGCUGUUGUGAAGGUGCUGCAUGGUUGUCGUCAGCUCGUGCCGUGAGGUGUCGGCUUAAGUGCCAUAACGAGCGCAACCCUUAUCUUUAGUUACUAACAGGUCAUGCUGAGGACUCUAGAGAGACUGCCGUCGUAAGAUGUGAGGAAGGUGGGGAUGACGUCAAAUCAGCACGGCCCUUACGUCCGGGGCUACACACGUGUUACAAUGGGGGGUACAGAAGGCAGCUACACGGCGACGUGAUGCUAAUCCCAAAAACCUCUCUCAGUUCGGAUCGAAGUCUGCAACCCGACUUCGUGAAGCUGGAUUCGCUAGUAAUCGCGCAUCAGCCAUGGCGCGGUGAAUACGUUCCCGGGCCUUGUACACACCGCCCGUCAAGCCAUGAAAGCCGGGGGUACCUGAAGUACGUAACCGCAAGGAGCGUCCUAGGGUAAAACUGGUAAUUGGGG
Molecule: ribosomal RNA, 1441 nt
Filed under: uncultured organism
Description: SSU rRNA
Rfam family: Bacterial small subunit ribosomal RNA
Source: RNAcentral